UCUUAUAAUUUUUUAGAACCGAAGACAGUAGGUGUCCAUAAAUCCUACCGAGGUACAUUUUGAAUUUUCAGUGUCCCUCGAUGUUUGUCCGAGGGGCACUUUAUUUUUGGAGAU
Molecule: regulatory RNA element, 114 nt
Rfam family: Ribosomal protein L10 leader
About the family: This family is a putative r-protein leader autoregulatory structure found in B. subtilis and other low-GC Gram-positive bacteria. It is located in the 5' untranslated regions of mRNAs encoding ribosomal proteins L10 and L12 (rplJ-rplL).
Source: Rfam